Long non-coding RNA from Onthophagus taurus, 328 nucleotides. RefSeq lists it as uncharacterized. The record is from RefSeq and is a predicted model, not a curated record. Lineage: Eukaryota; Metazoa; Arthropoda; Insecta; Coleoptera; Scarabaeidae.
AAAUAGGUGAUUUUAAAACUAAAGCAUUCGUUUUGUAGACGUAAAUAAAAAGAAGAUAAAAAGGUGUCCAUUAGAAUAAAAAAUCUAAUAUGAAGAAAUAUAGCCUCAAAAUAGCACUUUAUGAAUUAGCAACCAGCGACAUUGAACAGAAUUACCAUACGCGUACCAAGAAUUCAAAAUAUUCUCGAUAAUGUUCGGAAUUUAACAUUUUAAUAUUUCAAUGACCAACUUGGUAUUGGUACCACCGAUUUACAUUAUGUGAAAGUGAAACACAGUUUUAAUCAAUAAUGGCGUAAUAUAGAACUAUUAAAUGAUUUCAAAAAGUUUA